CAAGUUCUCGUAAUCUUAUGUGAAGAAUUACAAGCAUCAAAAAUUGAAAUAAUGUCUCCCCUUUCUAUAUUUAUAUAAUCUACCAAGAAUUUUUCCUCAAUUAGUUAAUUAUACCCCUUUGUGGAAAAUAUCUGACCUUUACAUUGAUUUCCAAUUUCAGUUUGACUGUUUUUGCAUCUUUUCCUCCAGAAGCAGCUUCUUUCAAAAUUUCCCACAAUGAACUACAAAGACAAUAUAUUCAGGUCCCACAAUUAGAUGCUUCUUUGACAAGAUGAAGUUGAAGUUUAGCUAGUAAUUCCUCGUAUGCAAUACAAAAUAGGCCCUUGUUGUCCAAUUUCGAAGCGUUUUCAAUAGAACACAAAAUAAAAAUGUUCACAAUGAUUCGAGCAAAGCUAUAUAGUUCCCAAAUAAAAACAGCAAAAACAUGGAAGAAACCAAUGUAUACAACGAUUAGAAGGAAAUUUUUGAAAGUGAAAUUAAAAGUUAGCUCAUAGUGACAGUUAAGGCACCCUCGACAAUCAGAUUAUAAUCCAUCAAAUCAUCUGCUUCCUCUAGGACAAUCUGCGGCAAAACUUAGACAUCAAAACAAAGAAGGAAAAAAAAUUAUUGCUAUUUGAAUAUUAGUAAGCCAAAAUUUGAGGGCCAGAUAUAGGUACAUCGGCUAGCUAGCAAGUCAACUUUUGCCGAUUUUUGGGGGUGAAUUGCAGGUUGUAGUUGAGAUGUGGAUGUGUGGCUAUUUUGAAAAAAAUAAAAAACAAAAUCAUUAGUAAAAAUCCCCAACAAAAGUAUAAGAAAUCUCAGAAAGCAAAAAUCGAGCAUAAUUAUACACAUCAAGUAAAAAUUGAAGCUUUUGAAGUAGACAUAGGUAAAUGGAGAGAACCCAACAGAAUUUUUACACACCAGACAAAAAAAUGCAAAAAUACCUUAAAGGUAGCUAAGAUACCUUAAAUCCGCAAACAAGCAAAGAUGUAACAAAAACUUAACUUUCUCGGCUAGAUCAAGGUAAAAUAAGGGAAAAUCGG
RNAcentral lists this long non-coding RNA (1022 nucleotides) under Olea europaea subsp. europaea. The record is from RNAcentral. Lineage: Eukaryota; Viridiplantae; Streptophyta; Magnoliopsida; Lamiales; Oleaceae.